RNAcentral lists this ribosomal RNA (459 nucleotides) under uncultured bacterium. Its description in RNAcentral is "partial 16S ribosomal RNA". It matches the Rfam family "Bacterial small subunit ribosomal RNA", at positions 339 to 795 of the family's 1533-position model. The record is from RNAcentral.
CUACGGGACGCUGCAGUAAGGAAUAUUGCGCAAUGGAGGCAACUCUGACGCAGCCAUGCCGCGUGCAGGAAGAAGGCCUUAUGGGUCGUAAACUGCUUUUAUUUAGGAAUAAACCCUCGCUCGUGAGCGAGGCUGAAGGUACUGAAUGAAUAAGCACCGGCUAACUCCGUGCCAGCAGCCGCGGUAAUACGGAGGGUGCAAGCGUUAUCCGGAUUUAUUGGGUUUAAAGGGUGCACAGGCGGGCUAUUAAGUCAGUGGUGAAAUCCCGGGGCUCAACUCCGGAACUGCCAUUGAUACUGAUAGUCUUGAGUGUGGUUGAAGUGGGCGGAAUGUAGCAUGUAGCGGUGAAAUGCAUAGAUAUGCUACAGAACACCAAUCGCGAAGGCAGCUCACUAAGCCAAAACUGACGCUCAUGCACGAAAGCGUGGGGAUCAAACAGGAUUAGAUACCCCAGUAGUC